CCUACGGGCGGCAGCAGUGAGGGAUAUUGGUCAAUGGCCGCAGGGCUGAACCAGCCAAGUCGCGUGAGGGAUGACGGUCCUAUGGAUUGUAAACCUCUUUUGUCAGGGAGCAAAUGGCGCCACGUGUGGCGCUUUGCGAGUACCUGAAGAAAAAGCAUCGGCUAACUCCGUGCCAGCAGCCGCGGUAAUACGGAGGAUGCGAGCGUUAUCCGGAUGUAUUGGGUCUAAAGGGUGCGCAGGCGGAAGGACAAGUCAGCGGUAAAAUUUCGGGGCUCAACCCCGUCGUGCCGUUGAAACUGGCGUUCUUGAGUGAGCGAGAAGUAUGCGGAAUGCGUGGUGUAGCGGUGAAAUGCAUAGAUAUCACGAAGAACUCCGAUUGCGAAGGCAGCAUACCGGCGCUCAACUGACGCUCAUGCACGAAAGCGUGGGUAUCGAACAGGAUUAGAUACCCGAGUAGUC
This 459-nucleotide ribosomal RNA is filed under the name uncultured bacterium. RNAcentral describes it as "partial 16S ribosomal RNA". It matches the Rfam family "Bacterial small subunit ribosomal RNA", at positions 338 to 795 of the family's 1533-position model. The record is from RNAcentral.